This 465-nucleotide ribosomal RNA is filed under the name uncultured bacterium. RNAcentral describes it as "partial 16S ribosomal RNA". It matches the Rfam family "Bacterial small subunit ribosomal RNA", at positions 28 to 507 of the family's 1533-position model. The record is from RNAcentral.
GACGAACGCUGGCGGCGUGCUUAACACAUGCAAGUCGAGCGAGGCCCCUCCUUCGUGAGGGUGUCCUCGCGGCGAACGGGUGAGUAACACGUGGGCAACCUGCCCUCCGCUCUGGGAUAACUCCGGGAAACCGGGGCUAAUACCUGAUACGACCUCCACGGGCAUCUGCGGAGGUGUAAAGUUUUUCGGCUGUGGAUGGGCCCGCGGCCUAUCAGCUAGUUGGUGGGGUAGUGGCCCACCAAGGCGACGACGGGUAGCCGGCCUGCGAGGGCGACCGGCCACACUGGGACUGAGAGACGGCCCAGACUCCUACGGGAGGCAGCAGGGGAGAAUAUUGCGCAAUGGGCGAAAGCCUGACGCAGCGACGCCGCGUGAGGGACGAAGGCCUUCGAGUUGUAAACCUCUUUCAGCAGGGACGAAGCGAAAGUGACGGUACCUGCAGAAGAAGCACCGGCCAACUACGUG